Molecule: ribosomal RNA, 254 nt
Filed under: uncultured bacterium
Lineage: Bacteria
Description: partial 16S ribosomal RNA
Rfam family: Bacterial small subunit ribosomal RNA
Source: RNAcentral
UACGGGGGGAGCAAGCGUUGUUCGGAUUUACUGGGCGUAAAGGGCGCGUAGGCGGUCGUGACAAGUCACUUGUGAAAUCUCCGGGCUUAACUCGGAACGGUCAAGUGAUACUGUCGGACUAGAGUGCAGAAGGGGCAACUGGAAUUCUCGGUGUAGCGGUGAAAUGCGUAGAUAUCGAGAGGAACACCUGCGGCGAAGGCGGUUCUCUGGGCAUGAUCUGACGCUGAGGAGCGAAAGUGUGGGGAGCGAACAGG